RNAcentral lists this microRNA (24 nucleotides) under Solanum lycopersicum (tomato). Its description in RNAcentral is "sly-miR7981b". Lineage: Eukaryota; Viridiplantae; Streptophyta; Magnoliopsida; Solanales; Solanaceae. The record is from miRBase by way of RNAcentral.
ACCCCUUUUUAGCUUACGUGGCAC